RNAcentral lists this ribosomal RNA (500 nucleotides) under uncultured bacterium. RNAcentral's name for it is "partial 16S ribosomal RNA". It matches the Rfam family "Bacterial small subunit ribosomal RNA", at positions 30 to 523 of the family's 1533-position model. The record is from RNAcentral.
AUUGAACGCUGGCGGCAGGCCUAACACAUGCAAGUCGAGCGGAUGAAGAGAGCUUGCUCUCUGAUUUAGCGGCGGACGGGUGAGUAAUGCAUAGGAAUCUGCCUGGUAGUGGGGGAUAACGUUCCGAAAGGAACGCUAAUACCGCGUACGUCCUACGGGAGAAAGCAGGGGACCUUCGGGCCUUGCGCUAUCAGAUGAGCCUAGGUCGGAUUAGCUAGUUGGUGAGGUAAUGGCUCACCAAGGCGACGAUCCGUAACUGGUCUGAGAGGAUGAUCAGUCACACUGGAACUGAGACACGGUCCAGACUCCUACGGGAGGCAGCAGUGGGGAAUAUUGGACAAUGAGCGAAAGCCUGAUCCAGCCAUGCCGCGUGUGUGAAGAAGGUCUUCGGAUUGUAAAGCACUUUAAGUUGGGAGGAAGGGCAGUAAGUUAAUACCUUGCUGUUUUGACGUUACCGACAGAAUAAGCACCGGCUAACUUCGUGCCAGCAGCCGCAGUAA